UGCUUGAUAUAGUUAAUUUGAUGCUUAGGGUUCCAGGAUUGAUGUUUGUAUCUGUUCUACUUAGCUUUUCGAGUCUUUACUGCAGAGGGCAUGGUGCUUCUGUUUAUAGCACCAUGUUGGCUCUCUCAGUCUUUUCAUCUAGGGCAGUGUUUCCCAAACUGGAGUGAGUCAUGGACCCUCCUGUAGAUCCUGGUGGGAGAGUGGGGACACUAGAGAAUGGCAGAUCUAUUCUCUCUCGAUACAUUCUCCAAGAAAUCAUUAGUUAUCAUUUAAUUUCAAUGAUAAUGAAACGUCAACAUAAACAUAAUCAAGAUCAGGUGGCAUUACUGUCUGUGCCAUUUCUGAGUUUGACUAUCUUUUAGUAUAGCUGAACUCCUGUGACUUAUAUUAAUUUAUGAAUGAUAUUACUUUAUGAAUCUCCUGAGGCAUAACUGUUAAGGCUAAUGUGGCUCAUUUAACUAGUAGCUGAGCCUAGAAAACACGCUACUCACAGUUCACCUUUCAUUUUGGCCUUGCUGCCUGUACAAGUACUCAUUUUGUGAGGGAAAUUCUAGCCAUGAUAAUAUUCUAAAUUUAGGUGAGUCUCCAGAAUGGGAAGGGGCUACUGUAUCAUAUCUUUUUCCUACUUAUAUAAUGCUAAAGACUCCGUGAAAAGUUCUUUGCUCUUCCACUCUUCUUUUUUGAUCAAAGUUACUAUUCAUUACCUCAUUUAUUUAUUCACUGAACAAAUACUCAGUAUGUAAUCAACAUGUUAUAAUUAAUCAUAUCAAAGCUUGUUAUAUUAAUUAUAUUUUAGAUUGAUUUUGUUUUUCACAUGAUAUAGUUUAGGAAGACAUUCAAGUCUUCUCAUUAAAUGCUUUUACUGUCAGCCCUACUUAGGCUUAAAUACUGUAUAAUACACUGUCUCUCUAAGAAUUAAUUUUUUCACUAGUCUGCAAGCCCCUUGAGGGGAAGAGAAGACUAUAUUUUAGUAUUAUCCCAAUCCUAUUCUACACAAACUUUGUGGUUAAUUGAUGGAUUCCAUCAACCAGGACAUCCUGUUCCUCUAGCUUUCUGGCUGACUGAGAUGAUAUUUUUAAACAGACAAUUGGAUAUGAGUUUUCAGUAGGUUCUUUCUCACCAUGUAUGUUCUUUAGUAUUAUUAUUUUCUUCAUUAUUAUGGGUGAUAAUAGUGGUAGUAUGGUAGCAUAGAGGCAGAGAUGUAAAAAGUGGAGAGCACAGGCUUUGGAGUGAACAGCUUUAGCUCCAUUACUUGGAAAAUUUACUUGACUUUGAGCUAUAGUUUUCCCAUAAAAAAAAAAAGUGAAUUAAAAUACACAUCUUUAAAGGCUAUUAAGAAAAUUAAAUCAAUAAUAUAUGUGUAAAAUGAUGAGAUGAAGAAUUUGCUUAUGGCAAAUUGAGGAGAAGGGGGAAGAGCAGUGGAGACAAGAAAGCCUGAUUUUAAUAACAGAAUUAGAGCACAAAGUUCACUGGAUUGGACUGAAUGUAUCAGAAGGGGUAGAAGUGCUGUUGUUUGGCAAUCUUAAGUUUUAUCUCCCCAAAUCUCCCUCCUUGAGCCAUGGAAAGCUCAAAAAAGCAAAGAUAGUAUUAGGAAAAAUAAAGACGUUCUUUGUAAAUUGCUGAAUUGAACCUGUGUCCAAACCCAUUCACACUUGUGAAAGCGCUGCACAUAGUAGGCAUUCAACAGGUGUUCGCUCCGUUUGCCACCUUUCCCUUUUCUCUCUCUUUCUAGUGAUAUAUGCAUACACACACACACACACACACACACACCACACAUAUGUAAAACCUGUGACAUAUAAUAUGUAGUAACAAUAUUGAUUUUAAAAUGUGUGUGUGUAUGUGUAUAUUCAUCCAUCAAUCCAUAUGUAGCAGUACUCACCUCCCUUGGAGGUGACUGGGUAACUGGAACUGUGUGUGUAUGGGGGGGCUCAUCAUAAGGAGCAGAGAGUGCUACUGGUGUUAGCAGGGUUGCUAAACAUUCAGCAGAGUGUAGGAGAACUCCCCAAACAGAGAAUUGUCCUGCCCCAAUACCAGUAGCACUCCCAUUAAGAAACACUGUGCCUUUACAGUGUGGAAGAACCUGCAGCAACUUUGUGAAUUAGAAAUUCUUUUUAAUUCUAUCAUAAAGGAUAACAACUUUUCAGGGGAAGUAAGAGAGCCUGUGCCUUGACUAAUGGUAUUACUGCAUGCACUAUUGACUGAAUCUUGGUCCAUGCUGUGAAAUGUUAGAUAUGUUAAAUUCUAACAUAGAUGUGAAUAUUAUUUUGGAUUCUAGGGCACUGCUAUCAUUGUUCUUUUAUGGGUGAAAUAAAGGGCUGUUACUACUUGAAUUUUUUCCUCCAGAUAUUCUUUCAUUGAGAAGCUGUUAGAUAAAAGUUGGAUUGUCUUCGUGGACAAGGCAUUUCACCAGAAAAACAAGCUUAGUGUCACUAUGCACACACACAGAGACUGCAUACACAAAGCAACUUUGGAGGGCUCUUUUGAUAUUACAUGGGGAAACUGACAGUGCCAAUAAUAGCACAGGACUAUAUAUCUCUCCCAGUGCUUUGGAAGGCACAGAAAGCAAAUGACAAUUUCAGUUGUAGCUAAGAUAUAUUUUGCAGUGGGUGGAAAGAAACUGGCAUUCUUAUAGGAAUACAGGAAAUUGUCUUUGAACUUCUGAAGGCACACAGAAAGCUAAUGACACCUCAGAGGAAUAGCGUUUUCAGGUUUUAGACGCCACAGAUGCCAGCAAUGCUAAAGCCAGUAUAUAAAACCUUUUUAUAGGGCCUUUAAGAAUCCUCAGUGUGCUUUCAUUAGUAGGCUUAGCGGGUAUAUAGAAAUGUUAAUGAUCUGUGGAGCAAGCUCAGCUUGUUUUUACAAACUACAGAACUAUAAAAGUUAUCAGAAAGGACAUACAUUCUCCUUCCUUUCUUUGUUCCUUUAUUUCUUAUUUAUUUUCCUCUGUAUAUAAUAGAGCACCUAUCAUGUGCUAGGUUCUACAGAUAGAAAGAUGAAUCAGAGGUGGAGUCUUCUCGUCAGAAGUUUGCAAUCUAACAUGGGAGAAAUGUGUGCGUUAAUAUCUACAAAGCAAGGUAGAAGGUGAUAAUGAUACAAAUAAAGUACAAAUUAAAUGGAAAUUUAGCAGAAGAAGAAAUUACUUCUGGCUGAUAGGAUCAAAGAAAGCUACAUAGAGGAAAGAGUGGAAAUAGUAUUUAACUAUUUUCGAGAAUAUGUAAGAUUUGGGCAGGUAGCAAUUAGCUUGCAGGGAAAAAGAAGAAGGUAUUGCAGAGGAGGGCAUUCCAAGCCGUUGGAAUAACAUUAGCAAAGCUUAGGACAGGAAUGGCAUAAAAUGGAGAAUAGCUAAGAGUUCGGAGAUUCUUGGUAUAUACCUCUGAUCAUUCAGAGAAUGAACCUGUAUUUAUUGCUUACUAAUUAAUAAUUUAGAAUUCUAGUCCUUCGACUUCGAUACACCACAGAAACUGCUUUGGAAGUUGUUAAAAAUUCCAAUGCUUGAGAGUCCUUCCACUUACCCCUUAUUUAGAAGACCCUAGAGAUCCUGUUAUUCCUCACAGCCCAUGGGCAGCAUUGGUCCCCCAGCCGGCCACAGGAGACUCUGGCCGUGUGUGUUACCAAGCUAGGAGACCACGCUGGGAUGCCGAGAGCAGGAGGGAAAUGGAAAUUACUUUUCUAAGAAGUAUAAUCCCCAACUCUCCUUUUAAGCAGCUACAAUACAUCUCAUAUUUUAUUUAAUUUUCUUUUAAUGGAAAAGCCGGUUAUACUAAAGGAAAGCUCAUGACUGGUAGAGGAGAUUUGAAUAAUGUUUAUAAGCUUUUUAUAUGAUUUUUUUAUUGUGAUUUUUUUGUCUCCUAAUUGAUUAGUAAAGGGAAAAAUGGGGAAGACUGACGUGUCAUCUUCUAUCAUGGUUCAGAUAGAGUGAAAUUAUUCCCACCUUUCUAAUAGAACUCCCAAGGUUUAUUGCUAUUUUAAAUUUGUCAGAGCAGUGCUUUUCAGUGAAGCAACAUUAGUCCUUAUCCUUCUGUAAAUAGGAAAUUUUACUCAAGGAGGUGAAGUCUCCCCCUUCACAAAACAAUUGUUUCUCUGACCUGAAUGAUGCCAAAUGCUCCAUUGCAGUCCUGCCCUGGCCACUCUUUGAUGUUUUUGUCGGUGGAGUCCCUGUAGCACCUUUGGCCCUACUUGGGCCUCGGAGUCUGACUGCAGUGGUGUGUUGUGCAACCCACCUGGGUAUGAAGAAUAUUGUACCAACCAAGUGGGCCUUGCAGUCACAUUUGACAUAUUAAGGGCUACUGUUCCAAUAGCUUGACUUAGCAAUGUAGAUGACUACCUGCUACUCUUCCUCUUAAAGGUCGAUGGGCUGGUCUGGACUUAGCCCUAGCUAUCAGACUCGACAACCGAUCUCUCCCUGUGUGUCCCCUGCUCCCCAGCUUGCUCCAGCCCAGCUUGUCCAUCUCCUGGCAUUUCCGUAACCUGUUACAUGUUACAAGGUACUUUCUUGUACAUUUAAAGUCUAACAACAAUUCCCGAGAUAUGCAAUAAUAAUUAUACUUGUUACUAUUUAGUGAGUGCCUGCUAUACUAGGGUCAGAAAGGUUGAAUAAUUUACCCACUCAUAAAGUUAAUAGACUGCAGAGUCCGUAUGCAAAGUUACAUAUUUUUACUUUUAGUCUGGAUGGAUCCCAUAUUUGGGGAGAACAAGGUCUUGAAAAUUUACACAUUGCCUCUUGCUCUGGGAAGCUGGAAGGCUCUCUAGCAGGCCUGGUCUCAUAUAAAUUGUACUUUACUUGUAACAGGCACCGUAUGGGAUCUUGCCUUGGAGUUGGGACCUGAAAAGUGCCUUUUGAAGGCCCGAACCAUCCAGCUUUCAGGAAAGAAAGCCAUUUUGGGUAUGGAUGCUCUGGAAAGAUGCCCAUGGUCCCUGGAUCCAUUGUCAUCAAGACCUCCAUUUUGAAUUAUGUUUUUCUAUGGAAUAUAUUGGAGCAGAGCAAGGAGGAUGGUGGAAGAGGAGGAAAUUGAGUAUGCAAGGAAUUCCAGGAGCAAGUUGUUACCGCAGUAAUGCGGAUUGGAGCCGCCUGCCGCAAUAGCCAAUUCUGAGACGGGGGAGAGAUUCAGACAACUCGUUACAUGGAUUGAGAGAUAGAAUAUUUUACUGGAGCCUGCUUUGACUCCCCUAUUCCUCAAGAGACAGCAAAUGAGUAAAUAUACUGAAGUGUUGGAAACCAGAAUUUUCACUGUGGAAGAAGGAGGGACUCAAAUAUGGAAAACGGGGAAUAUGAGGAAGGAUCUCAUGGUAUUGGAUUUAAGUUGAAACUAUCAGUAUGAAUUCAUAUUAAAAAUACACACACACAUUUCCUGCCUGUGUCCACUGAAAGAACCUAGUAGGAAUGAGCAUCUUUAAUGACCAGAUCUUUGUUUCUAAGUUUCAUUUUCCCCUAACACAAACCAUUGAAGAAAUGGUCAACCUGAGAUAUUUGCUAUACGAAAACAAUAAAGAGGUCAUGUCAAGGAACCGGCUUGAAGUUAACUCUCACUAGUCAAACUUAGGACAAUUUGAGCAUCAAAAAGAAUGUUGAUGAUCAUGGAUUAUAACACAUUAAAUUAAAAAAAAUCAUGGGUACACAGUGAUGAGAGGGGCAGGAGGGAGGGUGGGGGAAGCUCUACUUUACAGAAGAAUGCUAGAUAACAAAAGUGGAAAGAAUUACAGAAUUUUAAAAAUCAUCAUUUUGUAAUCCUAGUGUAAUGACUGAUUCAUGGUGGAUGCUAAAACUAUUGGGGGAAAAGUUUUUCUGUUAGGGAACAGAAUAUCCUCAUUUCUCAACAUAGCUCCCCACAGAUUUACUUAAGGGCAAAAUGGAGAGAUUGAUGGUCACUGUCUGAACCAAAUGGUCAACCUUGGCAUGAUUAGUAGUGGGGAGUCUGAUGUGAUACAGUGAGAGAUACACAACUUCUGCAGAAUAACUGGCCUGGAUUCUUCAAGUGAUUUAAUGUCACAAAGAAAGAGGGAAGUGCAGCACAGUUUCAGAUUGGGGAGACUAAGAAGAAAGAACAGCUAUUUGCAGUAAGUGAAACUUGAUUGGAUUCUGGAUCAAAACAAACAAAGCAGCUGUAAAGUACAUUUUUGAGACAAUUGGGUAAAUUUGAAUAUGAACUGUAUGUUGGAUGAUGGCAUUAAAUUAAUGUUCGCUUUUUAAAGGCUGAGUUGCAUGCUGAAGGCUCUUCUUGAGAGAUACAUUUGCAGUAUUUAGGGUAAAAUUUCAUGAUGUCUUAAGCCCAUGUUUGGAUAGUUUGGCCAAAGGAAAGCAUGUGUACAUAUACGUGUGUGUGUGUGUGUGAGAGAAAGAGAGAUAGGAAGUGGGUUUGGCAAGAUAGCUGGUGAAUCUCGGUGAGGAGUGUAUGGGUGUUCAUUGAACUGUUGCUUCAAUAUUUCUGUAGAUUUGAAAUUUUUCAAAAUAAACAAUAAAUUUAAAAAUAAGUAAAAAAUGUUACCCAUUAAUCUCUGCUUUUCGUGUAGAACCAGAAAGAUAUGGUACUAGGGAAUCCCUGGGAAAUAGUUUCCAUACCCACUGAAACACCCAUUGUCAUGGAGUCUAUUCUGACUCAGUGACCCUAUAGGACAGAGUAGAACUGCCCUAUAGGGUUUUCAAGGAGUGGCUGGUGGAUUCGAACUGCCUACCUUUUGGUUAGCAGCUGAGCUUUAACCACUGUGCCACCAGGGCUCCAUAGGACAAGUGUAUUAUUUCCGUACUACUCACUGUGGAAAAUAUGAAUGUUAAUACGUUACUAUUGAACAGUUGUGGUAGAGUAGAAUUUUCCAAUAAUUCAGCUGUACUCAUUUUUCUCUGGUUCUGUAUCAGUAAGCUUAGUUUCUUACAAAUUAGAAGAUUCUUUACAUACGAGAUGAAAAUGGAUUUUACAUUUUCCCCAAUAAGCUGUGGAAAAUAAAGUAACAGAGGAAUUAAUAAUGAUAUCUAUCAUUUGCUGAAUGGCUGCUAUGUGCUUCUCACUUCGCUGCUUUUUAUGUAAAUUAUCUUUAGUCUUCAUUAUCUCCAUAUUACCACAAGGAAACAGGCUUAGGAUGUUGAGUUGCUUUCACAAGGUCAUACAAUGAGCAAAUUGUAGAGCUGAGACUUAAACCCACUUCUGUCUGACUCUAGUUUCUUUUUACAUGUCUAUCCUACAACACUAUGCUGUUCAUACUAAGAUAAACUAUUUUAAAUAGUUUCUUAAAUGAUUGCAUUUUUUGAGGAAAUUCAUGGGGUUGCCAUGAGUUGGAAUCAACUUGACAGCAACUAACAACAACAACAACAGAGAUCAAGUUAUUACGUCUCUCAGUAUAUAAUAUUCGAGUGUGAAGAGAAAAUGAUGGGAAUAGGAGUGUACUGGGAGUAAGAAGUCCAGGGCUCUAUUUCCAGUUCUGUCACUGUCUGACUGUGUGACUGGGGGACCUUAGUCUCUUAAAAUAUAAUCAUUGGUUGAUCUAGUUGAUAUCUCAGUUAAUUAAAGGAAUUACAAUAGCAUGACACUUUCAAAAAUUAAAAAAAAAUCACUGUUGCAUAAGCAAAGUCUAGGGGAUAUAAGUGAGCGGGCUUGGAAGUAUAGUGAUGAGACGUGGUAAGGCUGGAGAGGGAGACAGGCUGGGUUAUUAAGGAGUUGCAGUUUAAUCAUAAGGACACUGAAAGACCCUGCUGGUCUUUAAUUUUUUUCACUCCCAAAAAUUUAAUGGUAAUUUUAAUAUCAUUAAAUAUUUAAGACAGAGUCAAAUUUCUUUUACUUACACUUCGUUCAAAUCAGGUUCUAAACAAGGUCCUUAUAUUGCAGUUGGUUGAUAGGUCUCUCAAGUCUCUCUGUCACUCUAUUAACUGCUUUCUUGAAAUAUAAUUCACAUACCAUACAGUUCAUGUAUUUAAAGUUUAUAGUUCAAUGGUGUUUAGCACAGUUGUGCAGCCAUCACUACAAUUAAUUUUAGAACUUUUUUUUCACCCCAAAAAGAAACUCUGUUGGCAGUUACUCCUCAUUUCCCCCUAAACCUCUCACAGACUUAGGAGAACACAAAUCUACUUUCUAUUUCUAUAGCUUUGUUCUGGACUUUUCAUAUAAAUGAAAACAUAUAACAUGUUUUCAAGGUUCAUCUAUGUUGUAACAUGUAUCAGUACUAAACUCUUUUUUAUUGCUGAGUGA
Trichechus manatus latirostris (Florida manatee) is the source of this 8174-nucleotide long non-coding RNA. RefSeq lists it as uncharacterized. Lineage: Eukaryota; Metazoa; Chordata; Mammalia; Sirenia; Trichechidae. The record is from RefSeq and is a predicted model, not a curated record. The transcript has 4 exons.